Molecule: transfer RNA, 71 nt
Filed under: Neotoma lepida (desert woodrat)
Lineage: Eukaryota; Metazoa; Chordata; Mammalia; Rodentia; Cricetidae
Rfam family: tRNA
About the family: Transfer RNA (tRNA) molecules are approximately 80 nucleotides in length. Their secondary structure includes four short double-helical elements and three loops (D, anti-codon, and T loops).
Source: Rfam by way of RNAcentral
UGGGGUAUAGCUUGGUGGCAGAGCACUUGCUUAGCAUGCAUGAGGUCUUGGUUCAAUUCCCAGUACUGCUG